CUGGGCUUGGGCAUCAAUAAAGUGGGUUGGUGGUUUCAUAGGAUGUCUUUAAAACGUAAUUAAAUUCAUGUAGAACGGAACUGUGGAAAGUUCUAGGAAGUGCAUCGCUCAGAGGUAACGCUUGCCGGAGUCAGGGACGCUUAGACUCCGUCCUCAGUUGAGGAUAGUCAGUUGGUCACUGUGGAGCUUGGGGCACUCCAGAAUAACUAGUGGUUGGACCACUUUGCCGUUUGGAACGGUUUAUGCACUUUUUUGGGUAGUAAAGGUUGGACCUUGGGCGUUGGACGCUUUUAAAUUGACUUAGGAACUUUAGCGAUUAGACCAGACACAGGUUGGACCUGAUACUGGGUCAUUGAUUAUCAAAAACUUGGAGUUUGUCCCUUGGAGGGUUAAUUCAAAUUUUGUCUAAAUUAUGUAGGUUGUGCAAUUUAAGGCCUUGUAAAUAUUAUUUAAUUUAUCAGACGUCUCUGUGUUAUAAUUUCUAUGUUUGUAUAUAGGCUCUGUCUGCCACGGGCACUGCAGCAGGCUGGUUAUUUUGAGAGUGUGUCUGUGUUUAUGUAAAUGAGAUGCUUGUGACUUAUUUAGAGUGACAUUUCCUGUUUACUAAUGAGUGGCUAAUGACUGACUGCAGAGCCAGGGUUAAGGACGACUUCAAUCUGUGUUUUAAGGGAAGAAAUGCAGUUUAUGUUUAUUAUAUUUGUGUGACUGUUGUUGAUUAUGAUAAGUAUUUCAUGAUAACUGUAGAAUAUGAGUAUGGGGUUUGCUUGACACGUGUCUGUACUAGGUAAAACUGUGUAAGACUGAUAGGAAGUUUACAGGGACUGCUACACAUGGCUGAUGCCUGUAUUUAAGACGCUGGAGUUGUUUAUUACAAUAUUGUAAGUAAAGUUUUAUUUCUUGCCAUGACUAUAUGACUUUUGCGGGGUUUUGAGAUAGGAUACAUAAACUGUUGAUACUUAAGACCGUUACCUGGGUUCUGACAAGUGAAAUUGAAUUUGAGAUAAUUUAAUUAAUAAAGAUGUCUGUAAGCGAUGUGUGUUUUGGGGUGUCGAAGUAAGAUGUUUUAGGAUUUUAGAUGGGUUUUGUUUCAGUUUGAGAUAAUAUAUAUACAGUUACAUUUUCUGUGUGUGUGUUGUUGAGUGACAACAUGCGCAGUUUAAAUUGGGCGCUGUUCCUUCCUCUUUUUAGUUUCAAAACACAAAGGCUGUGAGAUUAAAAAUUACUGUGAGUAACGGUUUGACUUUUGACUAGGGAAAUAAUAUGCUUACUUUUGGGUCUAUGAAGAUAUUUGACCUUCAGUGAUGUUAUGAGAGGUUUCAGUUUUCUUUUUCUUUUUUCUUUUGACUUGCUCUUUCUGAUCAUGGAAGGCAUGUCCAAGAUACUCGUAUGAAAGCGUAUUUUGUGUGAUUUUAACUGUGUGAAUGCUGUCAGUAUUUGAUUUGAGUGACUGUGUGAUUUGUCUGAGUGAGUGAAAAGGGGAAGUCUGAGAGAGAGAAAGGCAGUGCGUGUGAGACGAUUUAUGGCGUCUGAAAGAGGUUAGAGCAUUUAAAAGGUGUGUAUGGAAUAAAGGAGUGUGAAAUAUAUUUCUUGUGUGAUGAAAAGUGGGAUGUGCUAAAGUUUGAAAGUGCUUUUAAUUCAAGAAAUGCAUGAGUGAUGGUAUGAGAGGUUGAGUGUCUUUUUCUCUCAGUUCAAAAACACAUAAGCAUAUACACUUGGUUAAUUGUUUGGAUGUGUGAAAGAGCUCUAUUUAAAAGUGUGCAUGAAAUGAAUGUGCUCUGUUUUAGAUCAAGAUUUAGUAGAACUACUGAUCGUUUGUAGACUGUGAAAAUUCAAAGGGAGACAGAGUCUGACUGUUGCCUGCAGGAAGUCUCCGCGGAAGCGGCUGCAACAGGAAGUAUGUGUGUGUGUGUGGGACAGGAAAUGCAUGCCCAUAAAAGGAACUGAGUGUGUACAGAAAGAACACAGAGAGAUAGAUGAGUUAACUCUAGGCACAUGAAGCAAAUGAAGCCUUUAAGAAAAAUGCAUAUAUUACUAAUUAUAUGGUUUAGUGUGUCAAUACAGGUGGGCGUCUUUCAACUUUGCAACCUUGAGUUCAGCAGCAGAAAAGUAGAUUAAAAGAAUUGGGAGAAUAAGCCAGUUUUUGGCUCGAAAUUGUGCGGCUGGAUCUCUCACUUUGUCCCUGAAGCGGAGAAGAAGUUCAAAGGACAGUUAAUCGCCUGAUGAAGACAGAUAGAACAUCGUGGACUUGAAUACAGCAGGCAAACGACAGUGCCACUGAUCCAGUAACACUGAUGACGACUGACGACCAGCAGCAGCAUUGAAUGUGGGAUGUAAGGUGACUGACCAAGCAAUGAACCACAGGAUACAUGGCAGCAAGCCUACUGGCAGAGGACCAAGAAGCAUCUGCUACAUACAGUAAGAGACACAACAAUUAUUUUGUCCCCUGUGUACGUGGCUCUACACAAAGCAAUAGAUAGCUAAGCAGAUGUACUAAAAGCACUGAAUGAGGAUUCUGAUAGAAGUUCCUCACUAAUGGAUCCUGAUUGUGAGGAAGUCAGAAAUCCAUCUGCAGGUGUCCUUUUUAUGUACACUGUGUUUGAACAUGAAAGACUAUUAAAAUAAUCCUUUUUACCAGUUUUUUAAUCAUCAAAAUGAAUCAGGAUCUGUAAAGUACAAUAUUUAAGAAUGUGCAUUUCCAAAGACAACUUCUGAUAGUUUCUUUAUACUCUGUAGUUAAAUUUGGGGAAAAUGCAAAAUUAAAUGUGUAGAAAACUUUUAAACAUGACAUUUUAGUGACAAAAAUUAAGAAAAUGCUAUUUUCAUGCUAGACUGAGCAAAUAUCAAAAGUUGCACUACAAAAACAAGUUUUGAUAGAAAUAACACAAAACUCCUGAUGGUUGUUGCACAUCACUUGGGAAAAUAUAUUGUUAAAUAUAUACUUAUAAUAGAGUCUCUCACAGACACACACACUUCAAGCUCGGGUCCUGUACCAGAGGCCUGGCAGCUUGAGGGUCCGGCGCAGUAUCGUUGCUGUUCCCAGGACUCGGCUCUUCUGGACUGAGAUCUACUUAAAGAGCUUCUCGUGUUCCUUCUUCCCAUUUGCCUGUAGGAUUCCCUCAGGCAAGUGGGAAUCACAGCUGUCCUCGAUGUCUGCAGUGUUGCCUGGGGUCUUUGGCUGUGAGUCGUUGCUUGGCAGUUUCCAAGUACUCAGCUAUGGACAGCUUGCUAUACUUCUUAGGCACCUCUUUCUUCAACGCACCUUUCUACAACUCCAAUAUUUGGCUAACUUCCCUCUGUGCUACCUUGAUCUUAGCCUCUAGUCUCCUUCUCCAUGGAGGGCACUGCUCCUUGUGGCUGUUCAUCUUGUAGCCAAGCAUCUCCAUGAUCACUGAUGCCGUGGUGUAGAUCAGCUGAUUAGUCUCAGUGAUGGUUAAGAUAAGAUAAGAUGGCCUUUAUUAGUCCCACAGGUGGGAAAUUUGUUUUGUUACAGCAAAAGUGCAAAGUUAUGUAGCAGAAAUUAGAAAACACUGGAAUGCAAUAAAAUAAAAUAAAAUAAAAUAAAAUAAAAUACUAUGUACAAUAGAAUAAAAUAGAAUAGAAUAAUAUAUACAAUAGAAUAAAAUAGAAAUACAAAUACUAUAUACAACUGAGUAGGAAAAUACAAAAACACAACUUCGUCAGAAGAAGAAUUGCACAUAUAGCAGUCUUAUUGCACAUGUGUGGGUUUGUGUGUUUGAUCAGCUGCAAAAGUCUUUAUUGUAGAGUCUGACAGCAGUGGGGAGGAAAGACCUGCGAAAUCUCUCCGUCCCACACCGUGGGUGCCGCAGUCUCCCACUGAAGGAGCUGCUCAGUGCUGUCACAGUCUCCUGCAUGGGGUGGGAGAUGUUGUCCAUCAGGGAUGACAGCUUAGCCACCAUUCUCCUGUCACUCACCACCUCCACUGGGUCCAGAGGGCAUCCUAGAACAGAGCUGGCCCUUCACUCCAAACGACCUGAGUCUCCGCAGCAGGUACAAUCUGCUCUGCCCUUUCCUGUAGAGGGCGUCUGAGUUAUGAGUCCAGUCCAGUUUGCUGUUCAGAUGAACACCAAGGUACCUGCAGCUGUCCACAGCCUCAAUGUCCAUACCUUGGAUGUUCAGUGGUUGCAGUGGAGGAUGCUUGUGCCUGCGGAAGUCUACCACCAGCUCCUUGGUUUUACUGGCAUUGAUCUGGAGGUAGUUCAGCUGGCACCAGUCCACAAAGUCUUGGGUCAGUCCUCUGUACUCCUCGUCGUCCCCAUCAGUGAUGAGGCCGACUAUUGCAGAGUCAUCAGAGAACUUCUGCAGGAAGCACUGGGUGGAGUUGUGGGAGAGCUGACAGCUGGCUGCCGGCGGAGCUCACGGGCACGUCACUGCAACCCCCCCCGGCUUCUGCUCCGCGGCUGCUGAGUGACCCCUCAUCUGGGACUCUCCUCAGCUCUUUCUGGGAUAGUGACGCGGCUGCCCCUCUGUUGGUCUUCCUUGGUCUCUUGUGUUCUGGGG
Molecule: long non-coding RNA, 4518 nt
Organism: Oreochromis aureus
Lineage: Eukaryota; Metazoa; Chordata; Actinopteri; Cichliformes; Cichlidae
Source: Ensembl